GCGCCCGUAGCUCAGUUGGAUAGAGCACCAGGCUACGAACCUGGGGGUCGUGAGUUCAAAUCUUGCCGGGCGCG
RNAcentral lists this transfer RNA (74 nucleotides) under Candidatus Amphirhobacter heronislandensis. RNAcentral describes it as "Betaproteobacteria bacterium AqS2 tRNA". It matches the Rfam family "tRNA". From Rfam's summary of the family: Transfer RNA (tRNA) molecules are approximately 80 nucleotides in length. Their secondary structure includes four short double-helical elements and three loops (D, anti-codon, and T loops). Further hydrogen bonds mediate the characteristic L-shaped molecular structure. tRNAs have two regions of fundamental functional importance: the anti-codon, which is responsible for specific mRNA codon recognition, and the 3' end, to which the tRNAs corresponding amino acid is attached (by aminoacyl-tRNA synthetases). tRNAs cope with the degeneracy of the genetic code in two manners: having more than one tRNA (with a specific anti-codon) for a particular amino acid; and 'wobble' base-pairing, i.e. permitting non-standard base-pairing at the 3rd anti-codon position. Lineage: Bacteria; Pseudomonadati; Pseudomonadota; Gammaproteobacteria; Candidatus Tethybacterales; Candidatus Tethybacteraceae. The record is from Rfam by way of RNAcentral.